This is a long non-coding RNA of Columba livia (rock pigeon), 11050 nucleotides long. RefSeq lists it as uncharacterized. Lineage: Eukaryota; Metazoa; Chordata; Aves; Columbiformes; Columbidae. The transcript is spliced from 3 exons. The record is from RefSeq and is a predicted model, not a curated record.
UUGUAAGUUGUAAAAGUAUUUAUGUCACAGUAAUUUUAGCCAGAUAAAUGUAACAUCAACUGAUCUCAUAGUAUAAAACUUUAUUAUAAAACUGCAGACCAUUGGGAUCAUUCAAGUUCUACAAUCAUACACAAUUUUCACAAAUAAUUUGAUUGUCCUUAAAAGAUCCUUUCAUUAGUUUCCCUUUAUGUGGAAACUAAAGGAAGUUUUAGCUCUUAAACUCUUAAAGAGAUGAUUGAUUUUUUUUUUUUUAUCUACACAGAUGUUGAAAUCCUGGACUCAGUUAAGUAAAUGGAAGUUUUACCAGUGAACUCAUAACAGGAUUUCCCCAUGAAGUGUGUCCUAAAUAAAAUUUUCUUUCUUUCUAGUUCUUUUGUGGGCAGUUGGAAGUUAGAUUAACCCACGCUGAUUUUAUAAAGCUGGUAUAAAAUUAUGUUAAGAGGUCAUGUCUUUUUAAAAUUAUAAAGGCUUAUCUAUUUACAUUCUACUGGUCUGAAGCAGAAGUAACCAGGAACUGUGGAAAAAUCUUGUUAAAUAAACACUGAUUAGGGAGAACUUCUGCAUUUUAAAAUUUAAUACAUUUUACAUAUGUAAUAAAGGAGUUAAUACAAUGAAGCAAAAUGCCAUAAUACAUCUUAUUGCAACCUCUUACUAACAUAUUGGAGCUUCAAAAUGCAGGAUAAUGACAUUACUAAUCACUAGUAUAAAUAAUACCCUGUACAAACAGGUAUUAUUACAUUCAGCUUAACUUAUGGAUACCCAGGUAUUUCUGUUUUACUGUAAAUGAAUAAUUAAUUUUUCCCAUCUCUCUGUGGUUUCCUGUAGAACGUUCAAGUACUGAACACAUUAGAAGUUAAUGUGAAUCUUUGAAGAAAAAAUUAGAUGUCCUGAAUACAAUCUAAAGUAAUUAAAAACAAAAAAAAUUACAGGACUGAUUAGCUGGCAGCAAGAGUGAUACAUACUAAAAAUACUAACAAAUAGUAUACAAUGAUUGAAAAAAUAGCUGCCUUAUUCUUUGUUAAGGAAAAACAAACGUAUAAACAAACAAACAAAAAACAAAAACAAAACCCAAAACCUAAACAAAUCCCUCCAAAUCUUCCUACUCCAAGUCAAGAAAAUUACCCUUAACAGAAGACUAUAGUUUAGUGCAGUGAUCCUGUUUCUUUUGGCAGUCACCUGAAUAGCUGCAACAUACAGGUUUUUGUUGUUGUUCAUGUUCGUUUUUUGUUUGUUUGUUUGUUUGUUUUUGUCAACAGGAAAAUAAUUCUGAAGCUGCUCAGAGAACUGGUUCUGCCUCUCAGAGGAAGUUAAAAAAAUGAAAGUAUCUUUUUUUCCAUCAUUUUCAUAUUCAUUUAGGUUUUAUUUUAUUUUGACACUCAGAGUGACCACUUGUGUUACCUAUAUAAAGACACUGAAUUACAUUAAUCAGCUACCUAUAGUCAUAGCCAUCAACUUGACAUUGCCAUGCACCCUAGUCAAGCCUAUGGUUGCUUUGGCUCAGUAGAAGAUUCCAGUGAGUACAACCUUUUCAAUCUCUGUCUUAAUCAGUGCAGUUUUAUCUGCUAAUAAUGGGACAGAAUAUGAAAAAAAAAAAAAAAAAAAAAAGAAAAUACAUAACCAGAGCUUAUUUCAUUGGGCUACAAAAUACCUGCGAUACCUGCGUCGUGUUUCAACCUGAGCUAGCAAUAUAACCACAACAGCUGCUUGUUCUCUCCCUCUCCCCACCCCUCAAAUAAGGGAGAGAAUCAAAAGGGAAGGAGAAGCUUGGAUUGAGACAAACACAGUUUAACAAAAUAACAAAAUAUUAAUACACUACUAGCAAAUAUAUAUAUGAAAUAGAAAUAGAAUAUAAAAUAAAAGAUACUUAAUACAAUUCCUCAUGAACUUUGUCCACACCAAGCAGUCAGUCCUAGGAAACAGCACCUGGUCCCAAAGCUGAUGCUGGAGAGAGAAUAGAAGAAAAAAUGCAGAAAAUCCCAGAGACCUCUGCAAAACAGCAGGAUGGCAAAAGGCUGAACUAGAGAAAGUCCUGAACAGAACUGCCCCAAACAGGUCUCCAAGAGUGAAGAGAAGAGAGAAGAUUACAAGAUCCCGAUUCUUCUUAAAUAUGCAGCAUGACACUAAUGGGAUGGAACACUCUUAUUGAUCAGUCUGGAUGUCAGUCAAGCUCUGCCCCAUCUGUGCCCACCUUUCUCGAUGCCUCACUCCUGUAGGCAUAAUUCUCAGAAUGCCCUUUGCUCUCAGACCAAAGCGAUUAAAAACAUUAAUUCUGUCCUUGGGUGUUAUCUUCUUGUUCUCAAACUAAGUCCAAAUAAUGACUGUGUAAGCUAUGAAACAGAAAGGCUUCUAACUGCAUGAAGAAAAUUUACUCAUUUUCAGUCAAACCAGUACAAUCUGAAAUAAAUAUCUUUGCAGUUUCUGAUUCUAGUUAAGAGUUAAGUGUGAAAUUAAAAUCCAGAUUCAAACAAUAUUAACUAGCAGAAAAUCGGAAUUCUUAUCAGACAUUAAAAUUUCAGCAGGUACAAAUUUUAAUCAGUUCAAUUGAUAAUAUCUGAAGCCUCGGUGUUUUCUUUCUCAGCCUUUGUUUCUACCAUAGAAUGCCCUAUCCUUCUUGUAUUUCAGCAUACACUUGAGAAUUAUAGAUCAAAUCUCCAAUGGUACACAUUUAUGAUUUUAUCCAUCAACCAUUUGUAUAUAUUGUUAACAGAAUUUUUCAGGUACUACUUUACUUGUUUUGCAGAAUUGGUCAAAAAUUGAAGUACAUAUCUUACCUCUCAUGUUUUAUUUAAUCUGGUUACAAUAACUUCCUAUUAUUUCCCUCUGUCCCACCCCUUUGUUUUCAUACAAAUUCCAUAUAUGGUCUAGACUGAACAAGGAAAUAAAUAAAUAAUAAUAAAAAUCUGUCAAAAAAACCCUGCUGUGCUUUCUCAAGCAGAUGACAUUUCCACAAGAAUUUCUUCCAUAAAAAUAAUCUUUUUUUUUUUUUUCCAGUUUUUCCAAAGACGUUUAUCGUUUUCACCAAGAUUCUAAUUCUGUGCCAACACUGGCAAGCUGACUUUGAUUGCUUUCAGACAACCAUGAAUUAGUGUUCUUUAAACACUCAGAAGUAUACGCAGUUCCUGGCAAUGAAACAGCAUCCAGCCUGUGUUUGCAAGGGGACAAUCUAACUCUGAGCUACACAGCAACAUGAUGUUGAGCUCUGAAGGAACUAUUACAGUGAUUGCUAAAGCUCUUUUCACUCUUUUCAUUCUUUUCACUCUUUUCACUCUUUUCACUCUUUUCACACCAUGACUGUAAAAGAUAUUUGGGGAUCUUCCAAUACCCCAGCACCCACAUAUUUUGUUUACAGUGUCUUUAAUGUUAGUGAUGCCUUAGCUUUUGUGUGUCUUGGACAUAGAAAUGUAUUGCUAAUUUCUUGGAAACUGGCAAGCGGUAGUUUGUACCACCACUUACACUUAUAAUGGACUUGAGUCUGUAUCACAGCUAUAUGAGGAAGAUUCAUUGCAUAAGUGGGAUAUAGAGUUUAGAUGACUGAUUUGUCUAUUUUAUUCCUUGCAAAGUCACAUCAAAGAGCGCAUUGUGUGAACCUUUAUUCUUAUUUGUUGGAUAAAUAUAUACGGUAGAUACAAACACUCAUUUACUCUAUUUUGUAUGAGUUUUUUUUAGUCAAAUUAUUAAAAAGAGUAUUAUAGAAAACUAAGUCACAAAAAAGAAUUAAAUAAUGGACUCCACAGCCAAAUAAUUACUUAUCAGAAGGAAUUUGCCCUCACAUCUUAUGUAAAUGAAAAUGGAUUGAGCAUUCAGUGAUGAUCAGAGAGACAGCAUUAUGCAUUUCUCUCAAACCAUUGGCCAAUGCAGAUGGGAAAGGGUCGGUGUAUUUUUAUUCCUCGCCAUUAUUUGGACAGAUGGCCAGUCACUGCAGUUGUUGAAACUUCCUUUUUUCUUUUUUUUUUUCUAAUUUAAAUUUAAUGAAGUGCAAGAGAUUCACCAAAAUAAUUUUAUUUUUUAAAUAUUUCCUGGGGGAAAUAAAUGCUAUUGCUCUCUUUUGCCUCCCUCCUGCAAGCAGCAUUUGUCUCACUGUGCAGCUGCUGCUUGGAAAAAUAACAAUUGCAGCUCUUAACAAUGUGAAGCUACCAAUUCUAAGAAAGACAUGACACAGAAUGUAACAAUCUGGCACCUUUUAUGCAGUGACGCAAAGACCUCCCUACUUGUGAAAAUUUUUCAGGUUUUUGGGUUGUUUGUUGUUGUUGUUGUUGUUUGUUUUUGUUUGUUUGUUUGUUCGUUUGUUUUUAUAAUGAGUUUAGACCCAAUUUUGACCUAAGCAAAUUUAGGGACUAGGGACAAAAUAUCUUCCAGAUUUUAAAAUGAACUUAUGCUUUUCUGGAUCCAUUACUCUCUGGAAAAAUUUAGCUUUUUAAAAAGUACCAUACUUCUCUAGUACUUUUAAUUUGUGUACAGAGAUUUAGUCUUCCAGCCAGAAUGGUUAACUCAGAAAGUCUGUUCCCAGAACUAUACUAAACAUCACUGAUGAUGUAAUCACAGAUGCUUUUGACAAAUAAAAAUUACAGUCAUAAACAAGUAAGCCUCAUUGGCUGGAAAUCAGGAAGAAACAGGAAGAAAACUAUGUUUAUUGGAAUAGAAAUAACUAAUCUGGAAAAAAAAGGCAUGUUUCUAAGAAGAUGGUGAAAACAGAGAAGAAAGAAGAAAAACAUAAAAAUCAAAUUAUUUGCAUCCCCAAAAUCCCUGGAUUUCAACACCCCAGAACUUCAGAAGAGUGGAAAUGUGAAUACAAACAUAUCUCAGUUAAGCAAGGCUACAAUUGAAAGUCAUUCAGCUGGAAAUCGAAAAACUCUUUUCUCUGUUAUUAAUACAUUUGGAUUGCUUUCCAUUUUAUUUCCAUUCUAAUUGAUUAGAGUCAUCAUCUCUAGCAAGCAGCAGAUGUAUGUUUUCUAUAUUCAUGUUAGAUAGCUCCAUGGUAAGUGUGGAGUGCAUGGAACAUUUCUGUUAUCUAGAUAGGCAACUGCAAGAGAACAUGUGUAGGACUCCUCUAGGAUGUGUAAUACCACCUUCACUGAGUGAUAGUACAGAAAGAGUUAAUAUGAGCUAGCAAGCUCAGUUUGAGCUCAGUGUGUUGAUACAGCUGCAGACUGCGAGAACAUAAUCAAAUUAAGGAAGAGUGGCUUUUGGCCAUGAUAACUUCGGGGUGGAGAGAGUCCUUGUGGUGUGUCCCUGUCAGAUGAAUCAGUUAACCAGGACGUAUUUUCAGAAAGUGCUAGAAGUUCAUAUUGUACAGUGAACAGAAACUUACUUUCAUUUGUUUUGUGUUUUUACCCAGAAAUAAGAGCCCAUGUGACAGACACAGCCUACAGUAGGACAAAAAAAUAUUUGUUUGGGACUUCAUAUAUGUUGAUGUGAAAUUCUGUAGGUGGCUGGCAAUCAAGAAGGGCUCAUUACUUGUUACUUGGAUGAAAAAUUGCAUCAUGGAAGAAGUAGACCUUUUCUAGGAUUAAAACAGUAGUAAAGAGUGAAUGGAGCAAUCUCUUGUUCAAAAAGAGAAAGUUGUUACACUGUUAAUAGAAUACUUUCUCCUAGAGGGCAAUACUACUGCUUCAAGUGAUACAAGGGAUGCUGUCAAUAAAUUGACAGAAAUCAAAAACUAUGUACAAGUCUUCUCUUUAUUUAAUCACUGAGAAAGAUAUGGGCCUUUUAGCUCUGUUUUGAAAAUUGAAAGGUGUAAAGAAAUUUACAGCUUUGAUCAUAGUUUGAUAAAUAAUGAAGGAUACUUGUAAGACUUGCACCAAUGGAGCUUUGCUUUUCAGUUUGCCAUAAACCAAAAAGAGGACGGACAAGUAGCUUUUACUUCUGUCUGUUGUGAAAUUAAAUUAAGUACAAAAUUUGAUACACUCACCAAACAACAAAUGGAAGUUUGCAUACUUUGUAACCCAACUUGUUUUCCUAUCACUUUUUCUAGGUCUGUAACUGCAUUGUCAAGGCUCAGAAGAUUAAGACCUGAUUGUGCUCAGACAAGUUCCUUGAUUCUGUGUUUGUCUCAGAGGGUGUGGAUAGAGUGUUUGCUUCUUAAUCUAUUUAUUUUUUCCAAACACUACUCUGAAAACUACAUUAUUUUCAGCAGUAUAGAACGCUGAGUAGUACAACUCCUUCUUAUGCCUUCUGACUGCUUUCAGGUGAAUACCAAUAUCUUAUGGAAACUUCACCAGUUGUGAUGGCAUUUUUUAAGAAACUGCAGAUACUCACUUCAAAUCUGCUUCAUCAGCCUUGAAGCCUUUCCAAUACAGCAACAUAACUUCCAGAGGUGGAGCUGAGAAAACAGUAACUAUUAGUGUACUAUAUGAAAAUGUGGACACCUACGUCCCUCCUUCAACUGCGUUUUAAAAGUUAUAUUGCCAAUGCUCAGAAGACAACUCAGGCUCUAGAAGCAGAGUGAAACUGGAGUGAACCUGAACUGUGUUACAAAAUCACAAAAUGACUGCUGUUGGAAGGGACCCCUGGAGAUCAGCUUGUACAAUCCUAUUCAUGAAGGAGGGUCACAUAGAACAGGUUGUCCAGGACCAUAUCCAGAUGUGUUUUGAAUAUCUCUUAGGAUGGAACCUCCACAACCACGCUUGGUUACCUGUACUGGUGCUAUCACCCUCACAGUCUCCUUAUGUUCAGACAGAACAACCUGUGUUUCAUCUUGUGCCUGUUGCCUCUUACCCUGUCACUGGGCACCAAUGAAAAGAGCCUGGCUCUGUCUUAUUUAUGUUGUCCCUUUGGAUGCUUGUACACAUCAUUAAGAUCCCCCCAAGUCUUGUCCAGGCUAAUCAGUUCUCUCUCAGCCUUUCCUCAUAGGAGAGAGGCUCCCGUCCCUUAAUCACCUUUGUGGUCUUUUGUUGAAGUCUUUUUUGUACUGAGGACCCAGAACUGGACACAACAGUGCAGGGGUGGCCUCACCAUUGUUGAAUAGAGGGAAAAGAUCAACUUCUUGGACCUGCUGCCAAUGCUCUUCCUAAUGCAGCCCAGGAUACUGUUAGCCUUCUUUGCCACAGGGCUAUAUUGCUCGUUCAUGGUGAGCACAAGGCCUUUUCCUCAAAACUGCUUUCCAGCUGAUCAGCCCUAGAAUGUGCUGGUGCAUGAGGUUAUUCCUCCCAAUGUGCAGAAGGGAGACAAGUGAAAAAUAUGAAAAGUGCUGAAGUACAAGAAAAUGUAGCUUUGUGUUGUUCUGUGUUUCAUAUUGACCAACUGCAAAUAAGCAAUUAAUUUCUUAUAUGGUUCUUGGUUUGUUUUUGUGGGUUUGUUUUGUUUUGAUUUUUUUGGUUUAUUUGUUUUGUUUGGUUGGCUUGUUUUAAUAUUCUGGUUAACCAUGUAGCUAUAUUAUUCUCCCUGUCAAGCACUUCAAAAUAUGAAACUCAAAGUACUUUUUAUUGAAGUAAAUCAUGAUAAUAACAAAAUUUAAAAUGGUUAAUUAUUUAAUAACUUAGAUUGUCAAAAUCUGAGCUAGGAACGAAUGGUAUGGCUAACCUACCCGGUUUAUCAGGUCUGUUUCUGAACCCUCUUUUGUAGACACAUGUUUAGCCACUAUCCAUCUCAGCAAUAAAUCCUAUUAGGAUUUAAAAAAACUGCAGAGGACUCAAUGGUAUUUUCCACCUGCCUGACACAAUACACUAGAGUCUGCACCACUUGGAGCUGAGAGUUAGAUCAGCUCCAUCAACUGAGCAGUGGCUCAAGCUUGACUCUUCUACUCAUCUGAGUGAACUGUAAGCAUGGAUUUAAUCUUCAGAAGUAAAUUUGCCCCUUGUAGUCUGAUUACACAUGCAACAGAAUGCAGGAUUUUGACCCAGAAUGGAAAGCGGGAAGCCUUCACAAUCAGUGGACUGAACCCUAAUAGUGCUUUUUUUAAUUUGUACUCAUCAGAACAGGAGUCGUUUUGCCAAAGCUCAGGGCAAUUUACUUUCUUUAGGCUUCAUCCUUGAUAAUCUAUCCCUCCUUUUCAUCAAUUCUUUUACAUGCCCAACAUUAGUGUAAUUUCCAACAAUAGAACUUGAACUCCAGUCAACAUAAAAGACUACACAGCAAGCACUGAGGUGAAAUUAUAAUACACAUAAAUAAAGCCUUUCAAAGCUGCUUUUUUUUUUGUUUCUAAUCACUGUCUAGAGUGGAAAAUAAAGUUUAUUUUCACUUCACGCCUUCUAGCUAUAAGACACAGGUUUUUUUCAAUAAGUUAACAAAAUCUAAACAACUGAUAUUUGUGUGUAUAGAAAUAUCUUGAAACAGCUAUAAUUUCCAAAUACCUGUUUUCUGAUGGCAGAAAAAUAUCAAAGCAGAUGAUAUUAUUUGGUCACUAGAUGUCAGCAGUAUGUGGAAUUAAUGAAGAAAAAUAAUGACAAAAGUAGAACUUCCUGUUAUAAAAAGAGAGACGAACUGCUAACAUUGUGAGAUUUUUUAAAAUUACCUAUUUACAAAAUUACAUACCCAUUGUCAUGAUGAUAAUGUGGUUCAUGAGUGAAUGCAAACAGCAGUGACCUGAGAAAUAAGACAACCCCCAGGUUAUCUCCACAAAUAUUUGAAUAUAAUUUCAAAAUAGUAUUAUUUUAAUUAUUUAUUUUGCAUCCUAGCAUGCCAUCAUUAUACCCACUACUAUGUAUCCCCUGGCAAGGAAGAUUUACCAUCUCCAGAAUAUUUUUCUGCUAUAGGUGCUAAAUAACGAAGCUAUUUUCAUUCUUUUUUCUUCAGAAAAUUUUGUGGGUUUUAAAUUUUUUUAUUCUUUAAGAGAGAUGCUUAAAUAAACAAUUCCUAUCUGUCCUUCUCAUCAUAUACUAGGUAUAGGACUGUGAUAUUCUGUGUUUCACUGCCUAACUUUUAUAAGAACAAGAAGCUUUUCUGCAUCCAAGAACGUCUAUGUUGUUCCUUUUCUUCUUUUUACACUUUUGUAUAUUGUUCCACAUUAGGGCUGCUCUUAGUUCUUACUUCAGAACAAGUUUCUAGGACAUGCUUCUGCUUAAUCUGCCUCUAUUAAUUCAGGAUCCUGGCCAAGAUAUAUCAAGAUCAGGAGGUCUAAUAUAUAUCUUGAAGAACAUACUAUUUCCAAAUAGAGAAAUCUCAGAUUUUUUUGUGUCAUUAAAGUGGGGCAAAAAUACUAUGUCUGUUUUGUAUUGUGUGUGCUUUGAGGUAGCUGCAUGGACCUAUCUCUGAAAGCCGUCUUUAGUAAGAAACUAACCUUUUAGGCCAUACUUAGAGUUUGACUCAGUCUGAGUUUGACAGGAAGAAUUCCAUGUUAUUUUUGCAAUCAUGCAGAAAGAAUCCCCCACUGAAAUGAAUCUACUGUUUUCCCAUGACAACAGUAUACAAUAUUAAUAAUUUUGUUCAAUUUCUGACAUAUCUUAGGUAUGCAUGCAUCCACUUAAAAAUGAAAUAACUUAGCUCUCCUCUAUUUUAGCCUUGCAAAUACAUAUGAAAAUGUUCAGCCAAUGUAUCUGUAAUCAAGCUUGGGCCAGGGAAUAGGAGGCCAGAUGGCAUAUGAGUAGAGUCUCACUAUAAGUAGCAUGGUACUCUUCCUGCAACACUGAGAUUUUUUUAUCUGUGUAAUAAAAUGGUAUCCAAGCAAGUGAAGAUGAAAAUGAAACAUUAAACUUCAUGAUACUUUGCAAAUUGAGGAAAAGUGCUGUAUUUCUGGCAGUUACUCACCCCUCCCCCUCAUUUUAUUUGGGCUAAUUCUAUGACCAGGAAACAUCUACCACCUUUUGACUGCUUGCCACGAUAUCUUUUUAGAGUUCAACUAGUCUGAAUAACGAUUAUACUAAAAAGCAGCUCUAUAUAAUACAGUGUUACCAAACAUCUUACAGUUUCUUGGAUUUUUUUUUUCUCUGUUGUUUACCAUCCCUCUGUUUGUGUUUCAUGGUUUGAAUCCGAAAGUCAUAUAGUACUGAGAUACAAACUUCAUAGUAUGCAUAACAAAAUGAUAAUUCCAUGCCCUACAGCAACAUUAAAUGUUUUAUAGUUACAGAUGUUAAUAGAUCAAAAGGGUGACAGAGCACUGGAACAGGCUGCCCAGAGAGGUUGUGGAGUCUCCUUCUCCAGACACAUUCAAAACCUACAGGGAUGCAUUCCUAUGCCAUCCACUCUAGGUGAAACUGCCUUAACAGGUGGGUUGGACUCGAUGAUCUCCAGAGGUUCCUUCCAGUCCCAACCAUUCUUUUAUUCUGUGAAAAGAAGCAAGCAAUUGAUAUAUCCUAAGGAAAUGCUUUUUAACCUGUGCAUUUCAUUUAUAUAUUUACAUUUGGAAAUUUGCAAUAGUGGGCAACAGUAAAAUUUUUGAAUAUUUAUUAAAAUAGGAACAUUUUUGAGACACUAAGAUAUUAAGAUUUUUUUUUUUUUUUUUUAAUUGGAAUAUCUAUUACGUGAACAACAUUUUAUGAAAAAGGAGAGAAAGCUUCUGCUUCUGUUUAAGCUAGGAAGGGUUUGGGUUUUGCCUUCAGCAUCUCUUGUAUUAGAAUCAGUGUGACCUUAUUAGAUUUCAUUUCUUUUUUGUUGUUAUCUAAUGCUGGUAAACUUUCUUCUUGGCCACUAUUGAUUUUAAAUACAACAACAAACUGUAUAAAGUAACAGGAUGAAACAUGUACACAGAAGUUAAUACUGCCACUGGCAAGAAUCUAGCUUUCUUAAACAGCGUUCCAACAUGAAACUGAAAUUAUAAAGCAAUGGAAAGGAAAAAAUGUGGAGAGAGAGCUUGAUAUCAGAUAUAAAAAUGGAGGCAUAAAAAAUUAUAUUAUAAGGAAAGAGUUAAAAAAUGUUAAAUAAGUCUUUCUUGUGUCUUAAAAUGUUGUUUUCCUAGUACAAAACUGCAGGAGAAUAAGUAGUAUUCAUGACAAAAAAAAAUUGUUGUAACUCUCUGUAUUUUAACAUAACAUAAUUAUAACAUACCAAGUAAAUUAAACUCCUUAAUCAUCUUCUACAUCUUUCCAAUUUAUCUAAAGAUUGCUCUGUUGUUCAUCUAUAAUACUCAUCCCGGAAAUAAAAUCAUUAAUCACCAUGGCAUCAAGAAAAAGGGUUUACA